UCGGCGGGCACUGUGGUGCCCUUCGACCCGCCCCUCCCUCUGCUUCGCGCGCCAGUCCCUUCCUCUUCCUCCGCCGCCCGAGCCCCCGUCCUCGCCUUCCGUGACGCCGCGAGCUGGCGAGCUGCCUUGGAGGCCGCCGAGGCCAGUCUCUUCUCCCAGUGUGAGGUAACACGUUCCCUAUCAUCUCAUAUCCAUCCUAAUCUGUGUCUUUUUCACAUGCCUGAAUCAUCGCAUGACUAG
This 240-nucleotide ribosomal RNA is filed under the name Triticum aestivum (bread wheat). Its description in RNAcentral is "partial small subunit ribosomal RNA". The record is from RNAcentral. Lineage: Eukaryota; Viridiplantae; Streptophyta; Magnoliopsida; Poales; Poaceae.